AAGAGGAAAGUAAAACACACCCUGCUUAUACAGAGAGUCUUUAGUAGCUGAGAGAAGAUUUUGAAAGCGUGUUUGAAAAUGGCCUUGGAGUGUUGAUGCCAAUAUGAGGUGUCUACGGGUUCGCCCGUUAUAGCGAUACAGUAUUAACAUUGAUGUUAAAUGGCGUACUGGAUUCUUUACGCACGAUUUUUUGUUAAUAAGUAUGGGAUAGCACAUUACUGUAUCCUUACUUAACGACUUAAAUUGUGAUAAUUGUUCAG
This 260-nucleotide unclassified non-coding RNA is filed under the name Staphylococcus aureus subsp. aureus MRSA252. RNAcentral's name for it is "T-box leader as predicted by Rfam". The stretch from base 1 to 189 matches the Rfam family "T-box leader". Rfam says of the family: Uncharged tRNA acts as the effector for transcription antitermination of genes in the T-box leader family. Lineage: Bacteria; Bacillati; Bacillota; Bacilli; Caryophanales; Staphylococcaceae. The record is from RNAcentral.